Bemisia tabaci is the source of this 888-nucleotide non-coding RNA. The record is from RefSeq and is a predicted model, not a curated record. Lineage: Eukaryota; Metazoa; Arthropoda; Insecta; Hemiptera; Aleyrodidae.
UAGUGAUAAAAAGUAAUCUUUAAUUGGCGAUAAGAUUCGAAUUAGAAUCAAUUAUAAUCAGUGUUUACAUUGCUUACCGGUGCUGUGUGGCGUGAUGCGUCGAUGUAGGGUCGGCCCACUCACGACCCAAGUCCAAAAUAUUUCCCCUUAAAGUCGGACGAUUGAAAGAACAGGUGCUUGCUCACGAUUCAUUGAAGAGUAUAAAAGGAUUAUUCGCCUCCAUUUUAUUCAUAGUUCUCUGUUAACAGUCGACUUCGCAUUUUGCAUCGCUUUAUUCUUUCACCACUCCAAACCCCAACCAAACUCCACCAUGUACGGACAAGAGAAGAACGUCAUUGACAUCGUCGCCCUCAACGGCAAAGAGCGCAACGCCAUGGACAUCGUCGCCUUAAACGGCAAAGAACGCAACACCGUUGACAUCGUUGCCCUCAACGGAAAGGAACGUAACGUUGUCGACAUCGUCGCCCUCAACGGAAAGGAACGCGUUGUCUUUGACGUCAUCGCCCUCAACGGAAAGGAAAGGACUUCCUUCGACAUCAUCUCCCUAUAAGAUCCCUGCUCCUUCACAUCGAACUGUCACUCCCCGAAUUGAAAGCGCAGAAUGUUCUCGAUUCACCAUCGCCUCACGGUUUCACGCCUUGGAGGAUCACAGUAUUGUUCCACUUGUUCCUCUCACUACCUACUGAAACACUAGAAGAAUCUCCCUGCGGCCCUCGCCCAAUGCACAUUGGUCGAUUUCCUCUCGCCCAGCUUCGAUCAUCUGUAAGCUGAUACCUCACGAGUCUUUCAUGAAUUUCAAACGUAUCAUGGGUACUCUUUUAUAAUUGUAUAAAAUGUAAAAAAAAAAAUUGAAAAUUCUGAAUAAAAACCUAAACUUUCAAAAUCCUA